RNAcentral lists this ribosomal RNA (490 nucleotides) under uncultured bacterium. RNAcentral's name for it is "partial 16S ribosomal RNA". It matches the Rfam family "Bacterial small subunit ribosomal RNA", at positions 30 to 507 of the family's 1533-position model. The record is from RNAcentral.
AUUGAACGCUGGCGGCAGGCCUAACACAUGCAAGUCGAACGGUAACAGGAAGCAGCUUGCUGCUUUGCUGACGAGUGGCGGACGGGUGAGUAAUGUCUGGGAAACUGCCCGAUGGAGGGGGAUAACUACUGGAAACGGUAGCUAAUACCGCAUAACGUCGCAAGACCAAAGAGGGGGACCUUAGGGCCUCUUGCCAUCGGAUUUGCCCAGAUGGGAUUAGCUAGUAGGUGGGGUAACGGCUCACCUAGGCGACGAUCCCUAGCUGGUCUGAGAGGAUGACCAGCCACACUGGAACUGAGACACGGUCCAGACUCCUACGGGAGGCAGCAGUGGGGAAUAUUGCACAAUGGGCGCAAGCCUGAUGCAGCCAUGCCGCGUGUAUGAAGAAGGCCUUCGGGUUGUAAAGUACUUUCAGCGGGGAGGAAGGGAGUAAAGUUAAUACCUUUGCUCAUUGACGUUACCCGCAGAAGAAGCACCGGCUAACUCCGUG